RNAcentral lists this long non-coding RNA (350 nucleotides) under Equus caballus (horse). RNAcentral describes it as "lncRNA (ENSECAG00000044341.1)". Lineage: Eukaryota; Metazoa; Chordata; Mammalia; Perissodactyla; Equidae. The record is from RNAcentral.
AGGAAUUUCCCGCAUCCCAAUCAGCAGUCCCUCCAACACCAAAGAAGCUUCCAGCGCCCCUCCUUCCCGCAGCACCCGAAAUUCUUUCAGCUCUCAGGACGCACAGAUGGUCCCUUUCUCCCUAUGUGGAGUAUGAAGCUAGAAAGGCAUUCCACAAUGACACAAAUGAUAUCCUAGUGAAAGAGCAGAAGCUUCAGCCUGCAUUUUGGAAAACUAGGAUGUUCAACGAUGUCUCACCGAAAGCUCAGGUAUUCCAGAUCUUUGUGAGGGCUUCUCUGGGAGCUGUCCUCACUUGGCCUGAGGGUGGGACAAGCCUUCCCCAAGCACCACCCAGGGGUAGGCUGAUGACU